UUUUGAGCCUCAUGUGGAGAAGAGCCAAAAGAAGAAACUGACUUAACUGUUCAAGAGAAAUUUCAUCUUGCAACUGAGCUCUAGUACAGCUGUUCUGGGGCUUGGGCAAUAAACUGUGACAUAGAAUUUGGGAAGAGCAUCUUCCAUCCCUCCCCUAACUACCCUCUGCCCCUGGUACAGUGAGAUUUGAGAGCACCUGGAAGGAACAGCUCAGAUGUGGAUACUGGCAUUCUCCAUGGGUAAUGGGUGUGGAAAGCUAUCUCCCUGAUGCUCUAUAGGCAGCUGAUAUGGACAGAAGGGAGCUGGAGCUGGAGAGAGGACUGAGCUGAUGCCAUGUGAUGACCACAACUAACAGGCUCAUUUAAGGAAAAUGGCAAAAACUCCCUCAAAGGGAAUCUCAGUUGUUAUUGUGGAAUGGGAAGAAGGACUCUGUAGAGGCUGGUGAGGAUCUGGCUCAAGUGGAAACUCUCAGGCUUGUAGAUAUUGAGACUACACAACCUUCCUCAUCCUGGCAAGCAUAUCUUUAAAAAAUACCAUUUGGGAAACGACUCUCUACAUGAACAGAACCCAGAAGAAAUAUGCCAGGCAGAGAUCUGUGCUUUUCAUGAGAGAAGAUGUGUCUUUGGACUGCAAACUGCAGGGAGUUAAGACUUCCUUGUUAUGUAUGCAUUUAUUCAUACUGUUUUGUGAACUUUGACAUCGCAUGGACUUUGCUUAUCACCUUUGCUUUAUACUGACCAUAGUGACACUGCUCAUCCUUUGAAAAAGAGAAGAUUGAUAAGCUUCAAGAGGAAAACCGAGCCCAGGGUCAAAGGGCUACUGUGUUCACCUGACAGAGGCCUAUCAGACCCAGGAGACAUCGGGCCAUUUCCAGGGAGGAUCAGAAGGAUUUAAUGGAGGCUUCAGCUCUGACUUUCCUUCCAUGAGGUAAGAAAAGCAGACUGCAACAUUGACUAAAAGAAGGGAGGCCCAGAAGAACAGAAGAAGAUUGCAAGAACAAAAUUAAUGGAAAAUAUUCUUUAUUCAUCAAUCUUAAUGAGUAUUUCUUCAACUGAAUUAUACUUCUGAAUAUAAAAUUUUGAAUUUAUCUUCUGAAAUACCAACCAGGAGAUUUCACUCCACCUUUUGAUCCUUAGCCCCUGCAGUGGGAUUGUGCCAGGUAUUUAGUAACAAAGUUUUUACUCCGGAAACCUCAAGUACAAAUCAACCAGACACUGAAAUAACACAGAUCAGGAAUCAGCUUGCUUCUAUGUUCCAAACAAAAGAUAAGUUGUUCCUUUUAGACAAAUAAACCACAUUAAAUUUACUAUAUUACUGUAUCAACAGCAAAUACCAUGUUGAUGGCCAAGAAGAAACAUGUAAUUCUUUUAUUUAAUCUAUCCACUUUGCACAGAUUCCUGAUAAAGUUUAAGAGACCUUUUUUUCUCAUUUUUUUCUUACAUUCUCUUCUAAAAAUGUAUGCCCAUUUCUAUUUUAAGGGAAUCUGGUGAGUUUUUCAUACUAACUCAAUCAUUUUCAUCACUCAAAUACCUUUUUACUUUUAAUCAAUUGGAGACACUCUCCCUGAGUAUACUGAGCUUUCAUCAGGUCAGGCCUCCUCAGACUUCCCCUUUCAUCUCACAAAAUGAUUUCAUCUUCUAAAUAAUGAACACUUUCCAGUAAAUCUUUACAUAGCUUUUUUGGGCAUGUAAUACACAGCAUGAAAUGUUGCAUCAUAAAUCAAAGCUAGCUCUUUUUUUGCACUUUACAAGUCACCUUUGACCUUUAUUAUCUCACAACUUUCACAACCUCAUUAGGUAGUUAUUUUUAUUAUCAAAUUUUAUAGAUGAGAAAAUUAGGGCUCAGAAAUUUGUCUAAGGUGAAACAAUCAAGAUCCAGUUCAGAUCAGAUCCUCUAACUCUAGAUAUUUUUUACUACACCCUAAAAUCUUACCCCUUGUGCUUUGUUGAGAAAAACCUCAAUAUUUGUCAUUAAAAGCUCAGGUUGAUCAUGGACAUCCUUCCAG
Canis lupus familiaris (dog) is the source of this 2005-nucleotide long non-coding RNA. RefSeq lists it as uncharacterized. The record is from RefSeq and is a predicted model, not a curated record. NCBI's taxonomy places the organism in Eukaryota, Metazoa, Chordata, Mammalia, Carnivora, Canidae. The transcript is spliced from 4 exons.